Molecule: ribosomal RNA, 204 nt
Filed under: uncultured bacterium
Lineage: Bacteria
Description: partial 16S ribosomal RNA
Rfam family: Bacterial small subunit ribosomal RNA
Source: RNAcentral
UACAGAGGGUGCGAGCGUUUAAUCGGAAUUACUGGGCGUAAAGCGCGCGUAGGCGGCUUUGCAAGUCGGGUGUGAAAGCCCUGGGCUUAACCUAGGAAGUGCACUCGAAACUGCCAAGCUUGAGUUCUGGAGAGGAAGGCGGAAUUCUCGGUGUAGAGGUGAAAUUCGUAGAUAUCGAGAAGGAACACCGGUGGCGAAGGCGGC